UGCAAGUGCUCAAUCGUAUAUUGUGUUUUUAAUUGACUAAUAUUUGAUCAAUACUAUUUUAGAUUAGAUGAAUUUCUGAGAAGUCAAGAAGGAUUCAGAACAAAUGCCUUCAAAAUUAUCAUGAAGAUGUUGGUUUGGUGGAAGAAGACAGCAGGAAGUAGACAGUUUGUGGAUGAGCUGCUUCACAGCAUCUUCUUUCUGGGAAAUAUCAACAUUCCUCCGUAUCCCCCAGAAAUGAUUUUUCCUGAUGAGAUGUUGAAUGCCUUGAAGAAGGAAUACCCUCCCCAGGAGGAGUCCAUUCUCCUGUGUGCUGGACAUGAUUGUCCUGCAGAAAGGUCAAGAGAAUGAAAACCAAAUAAUACAGAGUCUGAAAGCUCUCAUCAAAACACUGAAACCAAAGUUUCUGGUCCCCUCCACUAUCUGCGUCUCUCAGAAGUCAGUCAAUGCAGUCAGAUGCUAUGGAGUCACCAUGUCCACUUCUGGCGUGAAUCCCGGGAAAAUCAUGAUUGCUGCCUCCUGUUGCAGCAUUUGGGAUGAUUAUGUAGCUGGUGCAGUGAUGACCUACUAUCCAAAGAAGGUCAAGAACUCAUAUUUUGAUGGAACCAUCAAACUUCCAGAGUAUGUCAGGUGCGAGGCGUUUAGCCUCUGUAAAGAAGAGAGAAUGCCUCCUUGUAGAUCCUGUGGGAAUUUGUUUGGUUUGCGCACGACUGACACAAAGGAGUGGGCCUAUGGCAACUGUGCUGAAGCUGAGAGUGUGAGCAACUUGCUCAAAAAUGAGAAAGAUGUAAACACAGAUGCACCACUAGAUGGCAGCAUUACAUGUUCAGUUAAAAGUCCAGAUUUGACAAACCAAAAUAUAGUAAUGUUUUAUGUUAGACCUGGUCUAAUGUAGAGUGGAUGGGAAAAAAGCAGCAAUAUCGAAUUCUUUUCUCUUGUCACAUAUGCAAUAUGGGUUUUACAAAUCAACUGUGUUUUAAACAAUCUUUCGCUGCUCUAAAUGAAUCUAGUCAGGGUUUGGCAAGUUUUUGAUCUAGACAUGGUCUGGAUGCAGAAAAAGCAGUAAAAUCAUCUAAAGUCCAACACCCACUUUCAAAUUUGUGAGACAUUUUUGUAUUACUUUUGUAAACAAAACAGAAACAAAUCCUUAUCUUUUGAAAAUUGGUUUAACAACAACAUUUUACUUGUAAAACAGCUAUUUAACUGGAAGGGUUUCUGUACUCACAUGAAGAUUUUAUAGAAAAAAUGCAGUGUUCCUGUCUCCCAAAGUGAGCAUAAUACAGUAAUUCAUGUACUAUCAACUGGCAUUAUAUGACAUACAUAUGACAUUGUUACUUUGGCAAAUUACAUCAUUACUGUUGAUUCCAUUUCCAUUUUUGACAAUUUUCAUUUGAAUUUUAAUUUAACAACGCUUUCAUCAGAAACACACUUAAUGCCUGUUAAACAUGAAUGAACAGACCGAGCUCUUGAUGGUAGAACAUGGGACGCUGUAUUUACUCUCCCCUACAAAUAUGUGUUGCCUAACAAAAUCAAAGAACUUUUAUUUAAAAUCAUACAUAGAUAGUUCUUUUUGUAAUUAUAUGGUGGAAAUGCUAGAACAUGUGUUUAUUCAGUGUGUACAUGUGACACUGUUUUGGACUGAUUUUCAGUUGGAUCUAAAAACAUAUUUGGUGAGGAAAUUUUACUUAAAAAAACAUGAUUUGUUAUUAAUAUUCAACAAUCCUAAUUUUUCAAGCUAUUAACAAUAUGUCAUCAAUUUGCUCAUUAUUUAGCCAAAUUUGACAUGGGUGUGUUCAUAUUUUUUUUGUUCUUUUAUUGUUCUACCUAUUCUUGCAUCUCUCUGUCAUGGAACUAAACACAUUUGUUUUUAUUUCAGUUUUAAUUCUUUGUUUAUAAUGUGUCACUGUGUUAUGCUGGGGUACAUUCCAUGAAAACUCAUGAUAUGAUAAUAUGUAUUGUUUGACAAAUGUUGUUCAAUAAAGGAAAAAAAG
Long non-coding RNA from Thunnus maccoyii (southern bluefin tuna), 1988 nucleotides. RefSeq lists it as uncharacterized. The transcript has 3 exons. Lineage: Eukaryota; Metazoa; Chordata; Actinopteri; Scombriformes; Scombridae. The record is from RefSeq and is a predicted model, not a curated record.